CUGGGGCUUCACUGCAACACCAGGAAGGACUACUUACUAACCUAGAGAGAAAUGCAUGAUCCUCGACACCAGACCUCCCAGACAGCAGGCCCUCUGAAAAGUUCAGUUAGCAAGCCCCAUCAACAUACCCACCGCUGGAAGCUGAGGAUGGUAACUUCCUCCCAAGGUUUUGUGAGUUUGCAGUACCUGGCAAGUGGUGGAGCCUCCUCUCUGGAAUCUUACCUCACUGGUCUGGGGAAAGAAAAGGACCCUUGCACUUCUCACACCCACGCCCAGAACCCCUAGUCCCCAUGUGGCUGGCAGUCUCUUGGUGUGAGGAUGCUGUUUUCUACGAACAGUCUAGCUGGCACCACCAUAGCCAAGUAAAAUGGAGCACAUGCAAAUCCCUCAGGAGGUGACUGCAUGUAGGCCAGGGCAGAGGGUCAGGCUAGUGUGGCAUCAGACGGUCCCCAAACAUGUAGUGGGUCAGAUGUUUCCCUGACCCCAUAGUAGUCUGAAAACCCUGGACACAGUGUCCUGUUCAAAGGGCCAAGAUGCCAGAGUGAUGUCCAGAUGAAGAGCCAAGCCAAGUCCAGGCUUAGCAGCCUAGCAACACCUAGGAAACAACGUAAGCGUCCACCUUCACAGGACCGCCCAGCGCCAUGGGGACGCUUCAUUAGAAACUAGUCACUUCGCCCAUGUGCUCAGGACUGGACAGAAAAGCUCAGAGUGGCACGUCCAUAUAGGUCCUGGGCAGUAGAGGACCAGAACUGCCAUCAGAGUCCCCAAAGGUAGGAUCCUCAGCAAGAAAGCACUUGAGAAAGCAUUUCUAAUAGCUCUAACAUACCUUGGGCUUUGUAAAUGGAAAUUGGGUCACUCUGCCCUACUGGUCCUCACUGUCCUAGAACAGAACCUGAGCACCCUUGGGAAUAGUCCUAGGCCCACCCAUGUAGUUCCUCAGCAGCACCCAGAGCUAUGUGAGACAAGUGGUCUUCGUCGUGUCUCCCCUUACCUCCAGUUUCCUCACACAGCACCUUUCUCCAGUCAGUGUUGUUUAACUUUGAAUAGAAGCCCUCCCUCUAGAUGACAUCUGUCAUCUAGCAAGGAAAGGGUAGUAACAAUUAGAUCACAAGGACUUAUUGUCUCCAUAUUGUCAGCUUAAACUGUCUUUGGAAUUUGUUGUGGCACCUGUGUUCCCUCUCAGCAUAGAAACUGAUUGAGUCCAACUUUGCUGCACAGAAUGGAUGUGCAUUUUCCUCAGUUCGAUUUGAACACACAGCUGGAGUGUUUGUCUGUGCUGCAUGUUUUAUGCGAUACCAAUUAGCUACUACUAAUUAUGGGUAAGUAGAAUCCAGUGUCUGUGAAUAAAAACAAAAACUGCACAGCAUGCAAACCAAGACCAGGGCCAUGUGCUAAUAGGUGACAGGCACACAAGAGAUGGGGGUAGGUUCUCACAGGGGAUAACACCCAGGAGGCGAUAUUUUUUUUUCUCUAUAGGGGGCACUCAGGAGACAGAGACAUACUCUGUUGUGAGCUGAUCCAGGAGACAAGAAAGAUUCAGUCUAUCAGGGGAAGACACUCAGGAGACAGAGACAGGUUCUCUUGAGGUAUGACAGACAAAAGUAAGGACAGAUUUGGUCAGAGGCGACACUCAGGGACACGGAUGGAGUGACAGAGUCAUGUUUGGUUGUGCAUGACACUCGGCAUGUUCUGUCAGAGUAAUACUUGGAUAUAUUCUAUUGGGGGUGAUACCCAUGGACAUGGUCUGUAGGGGGUGAUAUACAGGGACACAUUCUGUUGGAGGUGACAUUCAGGAGAAAGGGACAAAUUUCAGGGAAGAGCCAUUCAGAUGGUGUCUUAAGUGUCAGGGAAUGAUGGUAGGUAGGUUAGAGGCUGUCUGAAACAUUGACUCUAGUAGAACCCCUAUUUAUUUCUAUUUAAUGCUAUGAGCAACUAGUUAGUGGAAAUACUUUACCAAAACAAGAGUUCAAAUUCCGUAUUUAAAUAUUGUGGAAAGAUCUAUAUUUAUACUGGAGUAUUUUUACACCUUUCAGUAUCCUAUCUUACUUUGGGGCAUAGGGACAUUAAGAGAUGGAGACAGUUUUGAAAUAGGUUGCACUACAGAUCUGCCACCUCCCUUAGUCUGUCCCAGGGAGUUGACAGGUGGCUGCCCUGAGCCAAGACUCAACCUUCCCCCUCCCAGAGGCCCUGGGCUGCCUCAGCUGCCUGCUUUAAUGAAUAGUUUUACUGGCACACAGCUGUCCCCAUGUGUUUACAUACUGUUCUGUAGCUGCUUUGGUAUUAGAACUGGCUGGGAGGAUUGGGACAGAUGCCAUGGCACAGACACGUGGUAUUUGCCACCUGUCCUUUUCCAGGGAAAACUGCCUGCCUGUCUGCAGCCCCCGACCCCCUGUAGACUCGUCUACUACCCGGCUACAACAUGGGCACAUGGGGGAAGCCCUGCCAAUUAAGAAUGGCAAGAGUAACAAUUUAGCUGUACUGUGAAGACAUCAGUAGACAGAAUAGCCUUCCAACAUUGAGCCAAACAGCUCUUCCUCACCAACAUACUACUGACCAUUUUGAACUUUACAGUUUAGGGGUGUGGCCAUCUUGGGAUGAUUAAAUUAUCUCUUCCUUUAGACUUCUUAACUAAACCAAGCCAAACAACAAAGGAAGCCUGUACAACUUAAACUUGAAAGGAAUAAUAUGCUAUUACUACUAGUUUGUACUAAGUUUUUUUUUUCAAGAAAGGGAGUUAAGUUUAUAUAUAUGUGAUAUAUAUUUUUACACUAUUUUAUUAAUGUUAGGGAGUAUGGAGUUUAUCACUUUAUCAGUGUGAUGGGUAAUGUUGAUGUCACAGGUGUCCUGACUCAAAGACACUUAUGCUGACAUCUAAACCACGCUUGCUCAGAAUGUCAGGUCAGGAUGGCCCUGCUGUCCCUCCUAUAGUGCAAGGCAUCCAGUCACCUAGUUGGACAUAUGGCCUGGCUCAUAUUGCUUUUGUGAACAGCUUGUGUCUGUCAACAUUUCGUUCAUUGUGUUUGCUGUUAUUAACAUUGUGUGUCAAGUUGGUAAAGUGAUGAAUAAAGGUUUUAAAAUAUGGA
RNAcentral lists this long non-coding RNA (3083 nucleotides) under Rattus norvegicus (Norway rat). RNAcentral describes it as "long non-coding RNA NONRATT002038". The record is from RNAcentral. Lineage: Eukaryota; Metazoa; Chordata; Mammalia; Rodentia; Muridae.